UUCCGACAGAUAACUUGGCACUGAAGCUGCGUCUAAACUAAACAGUUGACUGAACAAAAGAGCGUGGCAGUAGAUAGUUAUCGGGAAGGAAGGAGUACUGGAAAAGACAAGUCACCUCCUUCAACUGCUCAAAAGUAUGCUUUAUUAGAUCAAAAUUACUAUCAUUUUAGCCUCAUCUAUACACAGACUUAUUAACUCAGUGCCAGUAAAUCUACAACACAAGCGUCUCAUUUGGAAACAAGGACAAACCUACAGGUGGCAUGGCCAGUGAACUAAAAUCAAACAAGUAAAUCAACAUCACUUGGCAGAUGAAGAUCUCUAGUAAUUCAUCCAUAAGUCCGCUGGUCAGAAACAAACACAAAAAGAAAUGGCACAUGAAAAAAAACUGAUUAGACCAGGGGACCUUGAGCAGCUGCCGCUCAAAUUCCAUAGCUGGGCGUCGUCCUCUUCUGCCUGCACUAAAUGCAUCGGGUGAGUUGGUGAUGUUGCAGCGGCUCCAUCUCCAUGGUGAUGCCGUCGUCCGUGGAGGGCGGCCGCUGCUCCAGAUCGAAUCCUACCAAGAGAAAAACGAGGGAAUCAGAGAGGGAAUGAAGGAGAGGAUUUGUAUCGAGGGGAGGCAGAGCGAGUGGUGGAGGGAGGCGUGUAGAAGGGACCAUGUCUGCCCCGAAGGCCUUGCCCUGGCGCGUGUAGUCCGCGGCCGCGGCCACCGCGGAGGACGCGGAGGAG
RNAcentral lists this long non-coding RNA (726 nucleotides) under Triticum aestivum (bread wheat). RNAcentral's name for it is "long non-coding RNA (TAES_LNC013961)". Lineage: Eukaryota; Viridiplantae; Streptophyta; Magnoliopsida; Poales; Poaceae. The record is from RNAcentral.